UACGUAUGGAGCAAGCGUUAUCCGGAUUUACUGGGUGUAAAGGGAGCGCAGGCGGUAUGGCAAGUCAGAUGUGAAAACCCAGGGCCCAACCCUGGGACUGCCUUUGAAACUGCCAUGCUGGAGUGCCGGAGAGGUAAGCGGAAUUCCUAGUGUAGCGGUGAAAUGCGUAGAUAUUAGGAGGAACACCAGUGGCGGAGGCGGCUUACUGGACGGUAACUGACGCUGAGGCUCGAAAGCGUGGGGAGCAAAUAGG
RNAcentral lists this ribosomal RNA (253 nucleotides) under uncultured Eubacteriales bacterium. Its description in RNAcentral is "uncultured Clostridiales bacterium partial 16S ribosomal RNA". It matches the Rfam family "Bacterial small subunit ribosomal RNA", at positions 524 to 776 of the family's 1533-position model. The record is from RNAcentral. Lineage: Bacteria; Bacillati; Bacillota; Clostridia; Eubacteriales.